GCAAGUCGAACGGUAACAUUGGUGCUUGCACCAGAUGACGAGUGGCGCACGUGUGCGUAACGCGUAUGCAAUCUACCUUUUACUAGAGUAUAGCCCAUAGCAAUUUUUAUUAAUCCUCUAUAAUAUCUUUUAAUUUCAUGAUUUUAAGAUUAAAGUUUUAACGGUAAAAGAUGAGCAUGCGUCCUAUGAGUGUGGGGGUGAGGUAACGGCGGACCUAGACUACGAGAGGUAGGGGGGCUGAGAGGGGGAGC
This 251-nucleotide ribosomal RNA is filed under the name uncultured bacterium. RNAcentral's name for it is "partial 16S ribosomal RNA". It matches the Rfam family "Bacterial small subunit ribosomal RNA", at positions 57 to 305 of the family's 1533-position model. The record is from RNAcentral.